This 528-nucleotide long non-coding RNA is filed under the name Pan troglodytes (chimpanzee). RNAcentral's name for it is "long non-coding RNA NONPTRT004810". Lineage: Eukaryota; Metazoa; Chordata; Mammalia; Primates; Hominidae. The record is from RNAcentral.
CUCGGCUUCUCCACCGCCCCCAACAAGAUCUUUUACAUUGACAGGAACGCUUCCAAGUCAGUCAAGCUGGAAGAUUAAACUCUAGAGUUUUGUCCCCCCAAAACUGCCACAAUUGCUUUGAUUAUUCCAUUUAUGCUGGAGAUUACAAAUUUUUUUUGUGAAAAAAUCAGAUCUUGGUGAUAACCUCGAGCAGUAAGAUAUUUUAAAUAACUCCCAUAAGCUUAGCGUUCCAGUAAUGGAACACUAGGCAUAAAUGGUUUAUUCAGUUGUGCACAUGAAAGCCAUCUGACAGUUGGCUCACAUUGAACACCUGUGGAGAUUAAGGACGAGGACAACUAUAUUGAUGGGCUUGGAUGAACUGGGGCGGGGCAGCUCAUCUUUCGGGAGCCAGGAGAACGAGGUCUUGCUCUGUCAACCAGGUUGGAAUAUAGUGGCAUGAUCAUAACUCACCGUAACCUCAAACUUCUGGACUCAAACAAUCCUCCUGCCUCAGCAUCUGGAGUAGAGGGGACUACAGGUGCAUGCCAC